UCCUCCUUGGUGUAGUGGUGCAUACGCCGAGCUGCAGCGCCUCCGGGGGCUGUUUGAGAUAUCGGCGAGGGGCAGAGUUCAAUUCCUGCAGGAGGAA
Fusarium oxysporum Fo47 is the source of this 97-nucleotide non-coding RNA. The record is from the annotation of a RefSeq genome assembly. NCBI's taxonomy places the organism in Eukaryota, Fungi, Ascomycota, Sordariomycetes, Hypocreales, Nectriaceae.